CGAGCGGGCCUCGCGCCUUUAUUUAUCCUCGCCGGCGUCUGAGGGCAGAAGCCGCGUCUCCCCGUCCGGGGUUCGCAACGCGGGCGCUCGACGGGGGAAAAAAAGGGCCUCGGCCUCUGUGACGCGAAGGAAGAAAGCGGCGACCCUCCAGCGCCUUCAAACACCCCCCCCUCACACACACACACAACCCCCAGCGCGCGCGCGCAAAGGGUGCUGGGAGUUGUAGUCGAGCGCCCGACUGAGUGGGAGUGACCCCCCUCCUCCGCCGCCGCCGCCUCAGCCUCUUCUUUCCCGGGGGCGAGCGAGAGAUGUCGUCGUCGUCCCUUCUGUCCGUGCAGGAGGAGAACCGGCUCCUGCAGCAGGAACUGUCCCGCGUGGAGGACCUGCUGGCCCAAAGCCGAGCCGAGCGCGAUGAACUGGCCAUCAAGUACAACGCUCUCAGCGAGAGGCUGGAGGAUGCGCUGCGACUGGAGACGGGAGAGCAAGAGAGCCUGGAGAACAGGAGCCUGGCCAAGCAGAACAUCGAGCUGCGCCGGCGGUUGGACGAGGACCAGGCGUCCUACAAGCGCAAACUGCAGGCCUACCAGGAGGGACAGCAGCGGCAGGCGCAGCUGGUGCAGAAGCUGCAAGCCAAGGUUUUGCAGUACAAGAAGAAGUGUGGGGAACAAGAGCAGCAGCUGCUGGAGAAAUCCACAGAGCUGGAGCAUCAGCAACUGGUGGGCCACUUAGACAUGUCUGAGAUGCAUCUAUGUCACGACGAGGAUCCUAGCAACGACCUGGAAAACGCUCUGAUCCGUUUAGAGGAGGAGCAGCAAAGGAGUGCCAGUUUGGCCCAGGUCAACGCCAUGCUGAGGGAACAGCUGGAGCAAGCCAACGUGGCCAAUCAGGCCCUCAGCGAGGACAUCCGAAAGCUGACCAUGGACUGGACGAAAGCCCGAGAGGAGCUGCAGCAGCGGGAGGCAGAGUGGAGGCGAGAGGAAGAGUCGUUCAACGACUAUUUCAGCAGUGAGCACAGCCGGCUGCUCACCCUCUGGCGGCAAGUGGUCAGCCUCAGGAGGCACUUCAGCGAAAUGAAGAGCAUGACGGAAAGGGAUCUCUCGGAGUUGAAGAGCGAGCUGUCCCACACGAGCCGUGCUGUGAACGCCACCUGCCUGAACCUGAGCGGACGCCUUCACCUGUCGGAGAGCACAGCCAGCGCAGCUGCGGAGAAGCAGGUGCUGCUGACAGCUCAGCUGGAGGACAAGGUCAGGGACGUGAUCCAGCUGCAGGUCCGGUGUGACACCGAGAAGGUGGAGCUGAGUACCAGGCUCAGUGAAACUCUCUCAAACCUGGAGCGCCUGAAAGGGCAGAACCUGGAGAAGGGCCGGACGAUUGAAGGCUUGAACCACAAGCUGGAGACUUUGGAAGCCUGCCGUGCGCAGGAACAGUCUGUGGAGGUGGAAGCCCUGAGGAGGGAAACUGAGAAGCUGCACCAGGCGCUGCGAGAGAUUGCCCAGGCAGUGAUCUUGGACACUGAAGGCACCGGUCACCUCCCACCAUCCGACCCAAAGGCUGACGUUUCGGCCAGCAACGGCACCGGCCUGCGGGGCUUGCCCUCUCCCUUGCGGAGCUCCUCGCCUCGACGCAGCCACUCCCCUGUCUUUGCAGUCUCCACCCUGGCUAUGGUGCAGUCCGCCCUACAGAGACGCCAGCUGCAGCUGCAGGAACUCCGGGGAAAAUUUGAGGCCGCUCAGGAUCUGGUGUCUUCGCUGAAGAGGCAGCUGGCCGAGGAGAACCACGAGCGACAGUCUUCGGAGCAGACAGUCCUGCAGCUGCGGAGUGAGGUGGAGAGUCUCGCUCGGGCCAGGGAGGAGUCAAGCCGGGAUGCCAAUCACUUCCGGUCGGCGGUAGAGUUACUGGGCAGUGAGAAGUUGUCCUUGGAGAAGAGCCUCCGGGCUGCGGAGCAGGAAGUGGAAGAGCUGCGUCAAGAGAAGGAGAAACUGCAGCUGACCAGCAGCGACCUCCAGCACCACCGCAAUGCCCUGGAAGAGGAAAGGGAAGACCUCCUGAAGGAUCGAGAGCGUGCCUGGAAGGAAGUGGAACAGAGCCACAAGCAGCUGGAGCACCUGGAGGCCGCCAAGUCCAGUCUGAAGAACGAGCUGGUGCUGACGAAGGAAGCCCUCAGCCAUGCGACUCUGGAGAAGGAGGUGUUGGAAGAGGAGAAGGCCAAAGCAGCUGAAGCUCUGGCCAAGAACGAGGGGAGCCGGGCCGAGCUGGAAGUCGCUCUGAACCGGCUGAAGGCCGAGGAGGCCUCCAUGCGCGAUUCCCUUGCCAAAAUGAGUGCCCUCAACGAAGGGCUGGCGCAAGACAAAACGGAGCUGAACCACAUCCUCAUCCAGCUGGAGGAGGAGAAGGCAUGUCUGCUGAGCAGGAAGCAGGAGGCGGAGCUGGAGAAGGCCUGCAUCCGGGACGACCUGGCCCGCUUGGUGCAGGAGAAGCUGGAGCUCGACUCGGAGCGGCGAGGCCUGGGCCAUUCCCUGCAGGCGGUGGAGCAGAGCCAGGAGGCCCUGGAGCAGGAGCUGCUGGCCGUGCAGGGGGAGAAAGGGCAGCUCCAGGAACAGCUGGAGCAGCUGUCCCGCCAACGGAACGCAGCCGGCAAGGAGCUGAGCCAGGCGUGCCAAGAGCUGGAGCGCCAGAAGGAAUCUGCGCUCCGGGUGGCCCAGGAGAAGGAGACGCUGAUGAAGGAGAAAGCCGGGCUGAUGGUACAGGUGGCCGCCUUGGAGCGGGAGAACCACUGCCUGCUGGAGGAGCUCGCUGGCCUCAGGUCUGGAAAGGACUCCCUGGAAGCCUCGCUCUUUGAGACCCAGCAAAGAUUGGCCCACCUGGACACCCGGAGGGAGCAGCUGGAAACGGGCAGCCAGAGCUUGUUUCUGGCCAAAGAGGCCUUGCAAGCGGAGCUUGCAAACGUCCACAAACAGAUGGAGACGGAGGUGAGCCGCCUGGAGAGGGACAAGGAGCUCAUGGCCCAGAACCGGGCCUUGGCGGAGCAGGAGGCCCAGGCCGCCCGGAGGAACAUGCAAGCUGCCCAGGCGGAGGUCGAGCGACUCCAGCGAGAGAAGGAGGCGCUGCGGCAGGAGCAGGAGGCCGAGCGGGACCAGCUGAGGCACCAACUGAGGCAGGAGCGGGAGGAUCUGCUGGCCCAGCACGAGGCCGAGAAGGAGGAGCUGAGCGUGGAGGUGUCUGCUCUGCAGCGGGAGCGGGAUGAGGACCUCCUGCUGGCCGAGAACGAGAAGCAGCAGGCACUCUCUGUGAAAGACUCGGAGAAGGCCGUCCUCCUGGAGAAGCUCCUGGCCACCCAGCAGAGCUUGGCCAACAUCACCCUGGAGCUAGAAAGGCAGAAGCGCGAGAGCCGUAGCUGCCAGGAGCAGGAGCGGAACACCACCAGUGCUUUGAAUGCGGAGCUGCGAAAUCUGCGUUCUCAGUUGGAAGAGGCCAUCGUAGGGCACAAACGAGAGGCAAAGAGCCUGCAGGACCAGGCCAGGGACCUGGCAAAGCAGCGGGAAUCUGCCCUCUGCGAGGUGGAGGAGCUAAAGACGCGGCUGCAGCUGCUGGAGGAUGCUCGGGAACUGAUCCGCCGAGAACUGGGGGAGGCCCAUCGCAAGGUGCGCGAGGCCCAGGAGGCCUGCGAUCUCCAACGUAAGGAGGCGGCAGACCUGCGCCGUGGCCUGAACGAUGAGGCCAAGGAGAAGGAGGCCUUCCAGAAGUCCAACACGGAGCUGCGGAUGGCCCUAAAGCGGGCUGAGAGCGAGCGCAUCAGUUUGAAGCGCGCGACUGAGGAGAAGGACCAGAAAAUUUCAGUCUUGGAGGAGGCUCAAGCAGCUGCCGGCAAGGAGACCACAGACGUGCGUAGCAGCCUCCAGGAGGUGGAGCAAUCGCGGUUGGAGGCCCGUAGAGAGUUGCAGGAGCUGCGGAGACAGAUCAAGAUGCUCGACAGCGAAAACAGCAAGAAGAACAAAGAGGUAGCCGAGCUCCAGGCACGGGUUGCCCUUGACGAACAGCGAGAGGAGGAGAGCCGGCGGGAAUCCUUCGGCCUCAAACAGAAGAUUGUGGAGAGUGAGGCCGGCCGGGAGUCGGCCCGGAAAGAGCUCCACAACCUGCAGCGGAAGCUUAUGGACCUGGAGCAGGAGUCGCGCCUACGGGAGAAGGGGCUGUUGGGGAGCCUGGAGGAAGCCCGCGUCACUGAGAAGAAGCUGCUAGACGACGCCCGCAACCUGGAGAUCAAGCUGGAGAAGGCCCAGGUGGAGGGGGCCGAACUGGGCCUGAGGCUGAGCGCGGCCGAGGGUCGUGCCCAGGGCCUGGAAGUGGAGCUGGCCCGCCUGGAGGGGCUGAAACGAGAGGCGGAGUACAAGCUGGGUAGACUUCACUCAGCCCUCCGACGGACCCUGGGGGUCAGCCGCAGGGGCCGUGUCCCCGGACCAAGGGUCAGCGGGGGCUCCCCGAAGAUACUUUUCUCCCCUCCCAAAGGAACCUCUACUGCUGAGGGGCCCAACAGCAGCCCUGCCUCGUUGGCCAGCGGCCCGUUCUCCCUCCCCCUCUCACCGGAGCGCCCUCCGUCUCCCAGCCAAGCCGGGCAGCUGGUGGCAGACAUCGACCCGGAAGUGGUUCAGAACGUGCUGCGAGACUUCCUGGAAGAGCUGAGGGAGGCCCAGCAAGAGCGGGAUGAAGCUCGUUCCCAGCUGGGUGGCCUGAAGUGUCAGCUGGCCGAGACGGAGGCCCAGCGUGACCUGGCCAGCAGCCGUGUGCAGCAGUUGCAGAAGCAGGUGGCCGCGUGCGAGGAAGAGAGGCGCAGUCUGGAUGGGAAGCUGACUGGAGCCCAGACGGCUUUGAUGCUUCAGGAGGAGACCCUGCGCUGGAGUGAGCGAGAGCGCAAGGCCCAGGCAGAGAAGUUGGCUGUGCUGGAGCAUGACCUGCAGGCGGCCUCAAGCGAGCGGAGGGCCACGCAGGAGAAACUCAGCAAGAUGAAGGCCAACGAAGCCAAGCUGGAGGUGGACAGACGACGGCUGAGAGACUCCUUGGGCAGUUCGGAGAGCCGUAGCACCAAACUGGAGCUCCUGCGGCGGUCGCUGGAAGGGGAACUGCAGCGGGCCAAGGUGGUGCUGAGUGACCGCGAGGCUGAGCUCCAGCUUCUUCAGGAGCGCGUCGCCCUCAUGCAGAGGCAGGUGACUGAGAGCGAGGCGAGAGCCGGUGCGCUGCAGCACUCCUUGGACCAACUCAACCUCUCGCUGGCCAAAGCUGCCGAUUCUGAGACUUCCCUGAAGGAGAAGGUGCAGGGACUGACGGCCACCUUGUCCGAGAGCCAGAGCAGCUCCGUCUCAGCCCAGGAGAAGCUGCUGCAGUUGCAGAAGGCCCUGGCAGCUGGGGCGCACGAGCAGAGAGUCUUGCAGGAGCGACUAGACGCAGCCCGACAUGCCCUCUUGGAAGCAAAGAAGCAGAACGGAGCACUUUCGGAGCGCCUCCAAGCCCUAAAGGAGCAGCAGGCCGAGCUGGAGCUGCAGAAGGAGCAGCUAGAGGGGCUGGGGAGACAGCAGGAAGAACUGCUGCGCCAACGCCAGGAGGGGGAGGCGGUGGCCCUGCGGAAGCUCCAGAAGGUGCAAGAGGACCGGCGCCUGCUCCAGGAGCGCCUGGGCAGUCUGCAGAAAGCCCUGGCCCAGCUAGAGAGCGAGAAACGGGAAGCCGAGCGCCUGUCCCUGCGCCUGGAGAAGGAGAAGGGCGCCCUGCGGAGGACCUUGGACAAGGUGGAGCGCGAGAAGCUGAAGACUCACGAGGACUCGGUGCGGCUUUCGGUGGAAAAGGGGCGCCUGGAUCGUUCCCUCACGGGUGCAGAGCAAGAGCUGAUGGGAGCCCAACAGCAGAUACGGCAGCUGGAGACGCAGGUGGCAGAGCUGGAGCAGGCCCGGGGAAAGAAGCCCCUUUGCAAAGCGGCUGUCCUACAGCGGCAGGAGGAUUUCGACUCUGAAGGAGCAGCUGCAGCAAGACACCCAGAAGGGGCAGCUUUAUUUCCCGGCUUCCCCUCUCUUUUCCGGACACUAGCUGUGGCGGCAGACAUGCAGAGGGAGCCGAGUCCCACGUCUCUAAAAGAGUGCCAUGGCAAGAGGGGCCACUGACCUCCAAUCCUUCAGAUUCACACGCGGCGUAAGAGCCAGACAGAAGCAGAAGCUCUUCUGAUCAAGGAGCAGAGCCCAGCGACUGGCCCUUCCUUGCUCACUCACUCGUUUUGCCGAAGACAGGCUAAGCCUGCCUGCUCAAACCGCUGGCUUACCUCAUCCAUCAGCAGCCAGAGCCACUUCUCCAACACUUGCCGCCGCCCUUACCUUCUCAGGCCAGGUGAGGAGUGACUGGGAGGGGAGGGCAAGGGGUGGGGCCAGCCAGUGGUGGGAUCUCCCGACAGGGAGCCACAACAGAGGGCCCAAAGAGCCGCAUGAGGCUCUGGAGCCAUAGGUUGCUGAUACCCAGACUAAGGUCUGCAUCCCCAUCUUUCCUCUUACCUGCGCAGAGCACCUGGUCAGCCUCCCUCUUGGCAGUAGGCACCUCUCUCUUUCUCCCUGCUGACUCCAGGUGCAGCCACCGACGUACUCCCCCAGCCCCCUCAACACCUUCUGCCAAUCAGGGAAAUACAUGGGAAGGGCUGCUCACCUGCCAUCUUCGAUCUGCUCUGUUUGGACCUUGGAUGCGAAACACCGUCCCGACUGAUCCUGGAAGAAGAGGGCGGGAACAGCUGAUGGGCAGAAGCGCCUCUUCCCCGGGGAAGAGCCAGUGGCUUUGCAGAGAGGCAGGGGUGGGGAUUCUCAGGGGUUCGGGAGAACCUCUAGCUAAGAUUCUGUGCAGCUCGGAGGGCCCCCCAAAUCCCACUCCUGGCUGGCCCUACCCAUUUCAUCCUGCCCAACCCUAUCCAGGAGCCCCCUCGGCCCGUUUUGGAUGCAGGUAAGUGCAGGGCGCAUGUGUGAAGGCUCAGGGAGGGCGAAAAAUGGGCCGACCAGAAGUUUGGAAAGGCCGGAAACAGGGCCAUUUCCAGCCUCCAGAGGGCCUCCGGAGCCUGGGGAGGCCGUUUUCACCCUCUCGGAAGCUUGAGGAAAGCCCCCAGAGCCCAGGAAGGACAAAAACGCCCCCCCUCCCCCACUGUGGUGCAGGAGGCCGACUAGGCCACGCCCACCAUGGCCACCCCCACCCAGCAACUGGGCAGAGAACCCCUCGCUAAAGUUUUUGAAGCCCACCCCCGGGGAGAGGAGGAGAUGGGUCCAAAGCCAUGGGAGCUUCCAGGGGCCGCCCAGGGGCCCGUUGCAGUGCCCAAGCCGGCUGGGGCCCCUCCUGCCCAGCUCUGCCUUCAGGCACUUACUCGGAUGAGCACCCAGUCUGCCUGGCCCAAGGGGCAGGGCGUGCAUUUGGCGUAGAUCUCCAGGUGCGGCUUCCAGUGGAAGAUGACGAGGGGGAGCCCCAGAGUGAGCACGGAGACCGAGUGGCAGAGGAACGUCUUCCAUGUCUUCCUCUGGUAACCCUUCACUUCCUGGGGAAGGAAGAAUUGGCGAUUGGCAGGAGAACCCGGGCAGGAGUUUCCUCACCCGCGGCAGCGUCCCUUAAUAUAAUUAAUAGGUUCUAUCAUAUCUCAAGACUUAAAAUGGACCCCUAACAUCAGAAACGUCAUCUAAAAAAACACAACAGAGAAUGUUCUUUCUGCGCCAACUCAGGAAGCUCAAACUGCCCCAGGAGUUCCUGAUCCAGUUCUACAGAGGAACUACUGAGUCUGUCAUCUGCACCCCCAUAACUGUUGGGUUUGGCUCUGCAACCCAACAAGACAGACAGAGACUUCAGAGGAUCAUUAGAACUGCUGAAAAAACAACGGCUACCAACCUGCCUUCCAUGGAGGACCUGUCUACUGCACGAGUCAAAAAGAGGGCUGGGAAAAUAUCUACGGACCCCUCGCAUCCUGGACAUCAACUGUUUCAACUCCUACCCUCAAAACGACGCUAUAGAGCACUGCACACCAGAACAACUAGACACAAGGACAGUUUUUUCCCCGAACGCCAUCACUCUGCUCAACAAAUAAUUCCCUCAACACUGUCAAACUAUUCACUAAGUCUGCACUACUAUUAAUCUUCUCUUCCUUACUAGUAUCUAUCUCUUCCCACUUAUGACGAUAUCCAUGUUGCUUGGAUCUUUACAACUUAUAUUGUUUUUAUUUGUUUCCUAGUACUAUUUGAUAGCUUAUUAGUAACCUUGACUGUCACUUCAGUGUUGUAUCUUUUUAUUCUUGAUGAAUGCAUUUUAUUCUCCUUAUGUACACUGAGAGCAUAUACACCAAAGACAAAUUCUUUGUGUGUCCAAUCACACUUGGCCAAAAUUCUAUUCUAUUCUAUUCUAUUCUAUUCUAUUCUAUUCUAUUCUAUUCUAUUCUAUUCUAUCCUAUCCUAUCCUAUCCUAUCCUAUUCUAUUAUUCUAUUUUUCUCCUAUUCUGGCAGAGUUCAGGGCCAUGCACUUCCUGGUAACACCCGAAGCCUCCAGGCCCAGCCAUUUGGACUCACAGCUUAAUCCUUUCUGGAUUUCUUAAAACCUCCAGGAUACAAAAGGCUUAAGAGAAAUGCAAAUUUAUCUCAUUUCCUCAUGAGCUUCACCUCAGACAUUGGCCUCAAGCAUUGAAAGGCUGGCCUUAGCCGCCCCAUCUUUGGAAAAGCCCUCUUCUAGUUCCCGGGAUCGACAGUCCAAUGAGGCACUGACUCUCCCUCGGUCCUCUAAUCCCCCCCCCAAUUCUCCUCAGGGGUGGGCUGCUGGGGGUUCGCAGGGGUUCGGGAGAACCUCUAGCUAAGAUUCUGUGCAGUUCCGAGAAUCCCCAAAUCCCACUCCUGGCUGGCCAUGCCCACCCCAUCCUGCCCUUCCCAGGAGUCCCCACGCGACCCAUUUUGGAUGCAGGGCACGCGUGGAGACUCGGGAGGGCGAAAAACAGGCCUACCGGAAGCUCGGGAAGGGCCUCCAGAGCCUGGGGAGGCCGUUUUCGCCCUCCUGGAGGCUCAAGGAAAGCCUCCAAAGCCUGGGGAGGGCAAAAAUGCCACACACACCCGCCAUGGUGCAGGAGGCUGACUAGGCCACACCCACCAUGGCAACGCUCACCCAACAACCGGGCAGAGAAACCCUUGCUAAAUUUUUGAAGCCCACCCCUGCUUCUCCUCCCUCAGCCUCAAAGGUGCCCUGUUUGGAAACUCUCUUCUUACUGUAGAGGGUUUAGGGGGGCUCUGCUCCAGAGAAUGGUAAUUCAGUUGCUGAUCUCCCGACAGGCUGCUAUUACCUAACAAAGGAGAGAGGAAGCAAAAAAAAACCAACAACAACUCGUCAGCGUCCUUGCAAGACGGAGUUUUUCUCUUUGCAUGAGACGACGACAUAGGACGGGAAAAUCCCGCCGAAAUCAUUUCUUACUUCCUCAGGCGGUGUUGAACUUCAGCUCUGAGGUAGCAAAACAGGUCUGACUGCCCAAGGAAGAGGCCGACUUUUUCAUUGUUUGAAAACAAUGAGAAAGAUAGAGAUGUACAGAUUAACAAGAGUUGGAAGGGACUGUUCUGCCCCAGCUAUGGACCCCAAAGAACGCAGCACACACAAAGCCCGUUCAAACCUUGGUUUACUAAAUAAAUCAGUCUUUUACAACAACGGCUGUUAAUUAAUUGCAUUAACAACGGCUGUUCAGCGGCUUGAAAACUUUUCCCCUGGGAGAAGGGAGGAAAGAGAGCCGACGGGUGUGGGUAGAGCUCCCCAAAAGCCCCAGGUUUCUUUUUAAAUCUGGGGCUUAAAGGGUGAGAGCUCCCCGGGAAGCCCGUCAUUGCUCCGGACCUGGGACGUUUCUGCUUCAAGCAGAACUAGGCGUCGCGACCACCCCAGCAACUCAACUUUAAAGAAAAAAAAAAUUUGGACUUGAAAGCUGGCAGAGCAAAUACAGGAGAAACUAAAAUGGCAAGUACUGAACUUUAACUCCGAAGAGUCUAUCACUUCCCUCUGAUUUUCUAUGGGAGAAAGGGAAAGUAAGAUGGCGUUUGAUUCUAACGAGGGCGUGGAGAAGUGAAAGUUAGUUACAAAAUAUCAUGUGGUGCUGAAAGUCCCUGUUUAAAAGAAGAGGAUUUUAUUUUAAAAGGACUUUUAUUUAAAAAGACUGGUACCAUUUAAGGACUGGAAUAAUUGAUUUAGUUGUUGGAAAAGUAUAAAGUGAAAGUCUUAUUAGAGAAAAAAAAAUGGCUGGCUUUUUUGAAAGUUAUGAAGGCUCACCAUUACAUAUAUCAGUAAAUACACAAAUACUGACUGUGGAUCUCUUUGAAGAAAUUUUAGAAUCAUUUACCUCCGGAAGGGCUUUUCAAGAAGGACUUUACACAAACUCGAAACAAAGAUACAAGUGAAGAUACUGUAUUGUUCCAAUUACUAAACAACAAGGAGUUGCUGAAGGAGGAGGCGGACGAAAUAACCCAGUUUAAUGUGCCUUUGGAAAAUGAAAUGGAGGUUUUCCAAAUUAAGAAGGAAAGGCAGAGAGGCUUGAAGGAGCGCAACCAGGAAACAGUGAGAAACAUUUCUUCAGAGGCUUUGACAUAGACAACUGGAAAAUUGUCAGGAGGCGUUGGGAUUUCUUAUAUAAGAAGGAAGAUUCGAAGUGGAACUUUACAACUUUUUUACAAAAAUGGAUUCCCAAUCGCAGUUAAAGAGGUGUUUUUACUGAAAGGAACUACUUUGCAAAGAGAACAGGAUUGUAAGGUUCAGCAACUUCAGUUAAAAAUCCAAGAACUUAUAAAAAUAAAAGAAGGCGGAGGAAAAAGACUGAAGCAAAAGGUUCGCAAAAAAGUCAGGAAAAAAUGGAGAAGGAAAAAUUACAAUCCUCUUUUUUGGGGAGGAUAGUAAUAGUGAAAACGAAUGAUAAUACCUGUAUAAGUUAUAUUAUAGGGAAAAUGAAUGAUUUACCUAUAUUUAGGGACAUGAUUUGUUUUGAAAAGUUACAUUAAAUAACGUUAUGAUUGAAUUGUUAUGAAUUGGUGAAGAAUUUAUAUAAGUUUAUGGGUUAAAAGAAAAAUAUUGUGGAUGUAAAAAUUAUGGACAGUGUAGAUCAUUCAAUAUAAGUUUAUGGGUUAGAAGAAGGAUAUUACUUAAGCUUUUAUAUGUUGUUUUAAAUUACAUUAAUACCAUAUUAAAGAAUGCUUUGUUGAAGAAUAAAUAUAAACUUGUGGGGUAUAAGGAAAAUAUAAAUGGUGCAAGGGUUGAGGGAAGGUUUUUGACAAUAUUUUAUAUGGAUAUUAAACAGUGAAGAUGUUAUUUGAUUAUACGUAGAGGAUUUGUAGAGAAUAAGAUGAAUAAGUUUAUGUAAAGCUACUAAGUAAGGAAUGUUUUCAAGAAGAAUUAAUAUAAGUUUAUGGGGUAAAAAGUAAAAAUAAAGUUUCUACAAUAUA
Molecule: non-coding RNA, 11441 nt
Organism: Pantherophis guttatus
Lineage: Eukaryota; Metazoa; Chordata; Lepidosauria; Squamata; Colubridae
Source: RefSeq, a predicted model, not a curated record